Paramormyrops kingsleyae is the source of this 656-nucleotide long non-coding RNA. RefSeq lists it as uncharacterized. The record is from RefSeq and is a predicted model, not a curated record. NCBI's taxonomy places the organism in Eukaryota, Metazoa, Chordata, Actinopteri, Osteoglossiformes, Mormyridae.
UUAGUUUUCACAUACCCUGUCGUCUUUCCUUGAUACACAGAUAUACAUCAUGGCUGCCCUCAUAUGAGGUGAAUAGUGUUGUGGUCUGAGGAGCGUGGGGCGCUCGUGGUCAGCCGCGGCGAGCGCAUGCAGAGAGCGGUCUGAGGAGCGUGGGGCGCUCGUGGUCGGCCGCGGCGAGUGCGUGCAGAGAGCGGUCUGAGGAGUAUGGGGCUGGUUAGCCACAGACCAGUCAGAAUGCCCAUGCUGACCACACCUACUGUCGGAAGCACCUACAACGAGCAUGAAUGCAUUGGAACUGGACCUUGGCACAAUGGAAAAUGGUCACCCAGCCUGAUGAAUCCUGUUUCCUGUUGCAUCACGUGGACGGCCAGAAACUCCUAUUAACGGACACACCCCUUCCAGCUGUGAAGGAUUCGGACUGAUUAGGAGCCUUGCUCUUUGCUGCCAGACCUUCUCAAUAUCCUAUCAGCCAACCCUUCGCCUGUUUCUCUGACCGUCCUGUGAUUUGGAUCUCGUUUUUUGCCCACCUGGUUUGGACCCUUUCCUGUUCGAGUCUGAUCAUCCCUGCACUAAAACCCCUCUCCUGAAUACAUUUGUGUCUGCAUUUGUGUCCUCCACACCUGGCCUGUCCAUCACAGGAAAAACGUGUUUGCCAA